RNAcentral lists this long non-coding RNA (326 nucleotides) under Equus caballus (horse). RNAcentral's name for it is "lncRNA (ENSECAG00000057892.1)". Lineage: Eukaryota; Metazoa; Chordata; Mammalia; Perissodactyla; Equidae. The record is from RNAcentral.
GUGCAAAUGACGAUGCAGAAAAUGGCAAAGAAAUGCAAAGAGAGAAAAAAAUACUCAGCAUCUGCCACAACCUUGGUAACUCACAGGAUGGCACCAGGUAACAUUCAUUGAGAACUGACAGGGGCCAGGCUUGCCACUAAGCAGUUCAUGCGCAGUGACUCAUUUAAUCUGCAUGACAACCUGAGAGUCAGAACCUGAACACUUUUGGCGCCCAUGGCAAAAUAUUUCUGAGAGGACUGAAUGAGAUAAUCCAUUUAAAGAAUUUAACACAACAUAUGUUUCUUGAACCUCCGAGUCGGUGAUGGCUACUCGAUAAGCAGAGCACU